This 1039-nucleotide ribosomal RNA is filed under the name Snodgrassella alvi. RNAcentral's name for it is "bacterial SSU rRNA". It matches the Rfam family "Bacterial small subunit ribosomal RNA", at positions 401 to 1436 of the family's 1533-position model. Lineage: Bacteria; Pseudomonadati; Pseudomonadota; Betaproteobacteria; Neisseriales; Neisseriaceae. The record is from RNAcentral.
GUCUGAAGAAGGCCUUCGGGUUGUAAAGGACUUUUGUUAGGGAAGAAAAGCCGGGUGCUAAUACCACCUGGUGCUGACGGUACCUAAAGAAUAAGCACCGGCUAACUACGUGCCAGCAGCCGCGGUAAUACGUAGGGUGCGAGCGUUAAUCGGAAUUACUGGGCGUAAAGCGAGCGCAGACGGUUAAUUAAGUCAGAUGUGAAAUCCCCGAGCUCAACUUGGGACGUGCAUUUGAAACUGGUUAACUAGAGUGUGUCAGAGGGAGGUAGAAUUCCACGUGUAGCAGUGAAAUGCGUAGAGAUGUGGAGGAAUACCGAUGGCGAAGGCAGCCUCCUGGGAUAACACUGACGUUCAUGCUCGAAAGCGUGGGUAGCAAACAGGAUUAGAUACCCUGGUAGUCCACGCCCUAAACGAUGACAAUUAGCUGUUGGGACACUAGAUGUCUUAGUAGCGAAGCUAACGCGUGAAAUUGUCCGCCUGGGGAGUACGGUCGCAAGAUUAAAACUCAAAGGAAUUGACGGGGACCCGCACAAGCGGUGGAUGAUGUGGAUUAAUUCGAUGCAACGCGAAGAACCUUACCUGGUCUUGACAUGUACGGAAUCUCUUAGAGAUAGGAGAGUGCCUUCGGGAGCCGUAACACAGGUGCUGCAUGGCUGUCGUCAGCUCGUGUCGUGAGAUGUUGGGUUAAGUCCCGCAACGAGCGCAACCCUUGUCAUUAGUUGCCAUCAUUAAGUUGGGCACUCUAAUGAGACUGCCGGUGACAAACCGGAGGAAGGUGGGGAUGACGUCAAGUCCUCAUGGCCCUUAUGACCAGGGCUUCACACGUCAUACAAUGGUCGGUACAGAGGGUAGCGAAGCCGCGAGGUGAAGCCAAUCUCAGAAAGCCGAUCGUAGUCCGGAUUGCACUCUGCAACUCGAGUGCAUGAAGUCGGAAUCGCUAGUAAUCGCAGGUCAGCAUACUGCGGUGAAUACGUUCCCGGGUCUUGUACACACCGCCCGUCACACCAUGGGAGUGGGGGAUACCAGAAUUGGGUAGACU